RNAcentral lists this transfer RNA (73 nucleotides) under Vicugna pacos (alpaca). RNAcentral's name for it is "tRNA-Ala (AGC) (tRNA-Ala-AGC-47-1)". It matches the Rfam family "tRNA". From Rfam's summary of the family: Transfer RNA (tRNA) molecules are approximately 80 nucleotides in length. Their secondary structure includes four short double-helical elements and three loops (D, anti-codon, and T loops). Further hydrogen bonds mediate the characteristic L-shaped molecular structure. tRNAs have two regions of fundamental functional importance: the anti-codon, which is responsible for specific mRNA codon recognition, and the 3' end, to which the tRNAs corresponding amino acid is attached (by aminoacyl-tRNA synthetases). tRNAs cope with the degeneracy of the genetic code in two manners: having more than one tRNA (with a specific anti-codon) for a particular amino acid; and 'wobble' base-pairing, i.e. permitting non-standard base-pairing at the 3rd anti-codon position. The record is from RNAcentral. Lineage: Eukaryota; Metazoa; Chordata; Mammalia; Artiodactyla; Camelidae.
GGAGGGUAUAGCUCAAUGGUAGAGCGCAUGCUUAGCAUGCAUGAGGUCCUGGGUUCAAUCCCCAGUACCUCCA